CAGAUCAUGUGACACUUAGAUUGCACACAGGUGGACUUUAUUUAACUAAUUAUGUGACUGAAGGUAAUUGGUUGCACCAGAUCUUAUUUAGGGGCUUCAUAGUAAAGAAUACAUAUGCACACACACCACUUUUCCGUUAUUUAGAUAUUUUUGAAACAAGUUUUUUAUUUUAUUUCACUUUACCAAUUUGGACUAUUUUCUUUGUUUGUCCAUUACAUGAAAUCCAAAUAAAAAUCCAUUUAAAUUACAGGUUGUAAAGCAACAAAAUAGGAAAAACGCCAAGGGGGAUGAAAUACUAUUGUCAGGCACUGUAUUUUCUCACACGUUUGCUGUGCCCCAAAUGGCGUGCAAUCCCCUACAUAGUGCAUUCUCUUUGGCAAGGGCCCACAGAAGUAGUGCACUACAUAGGGAAUGGGAUGCCUAGUCUCUCCACACAGCCUCUGUAUGUCCGGCAAGCCGGACUAUAGCUCACAGGAUGAAAUCACAAACAAUUUACCCAAACCUAUUUUAGUUAUAGCAUUAUUUCAUUUCAUGUUAGAAACUACGUGUCCUUUUUCAUAACUCCCUGUUGAUGCAUUCAUUAACCAAACCAUACAAUAUUAAUAACCAUAACGAGAGAGAGAGACUCGAUAACAACCUGGAUGUAUGUAAUAGUUUUACUAUUACAGAGGUUUCUAUACACUGAGCAGGGCCAUAGACAUGGGUUACAGUCCAGAUCACAUCCUGAUAUAUUCCCUAGGGACUGAGCAGGGCCAUAGACAUGGGUUACAGUCCAGAUCACAUCCUGAUAUAUUCCCUAGGGACUGAGCAGGGCCAUAGACAUGGGUUACAGUCCAAAUGGCAUCCUGAUAUAUUCCCUAGGGACUGAGCAGGGCCAUAGACAUGGGUUACAGUCCAGAUCACAUCCUGAUAUAUUCCCUGUAUAGUCAGAAGGAGUGGACUGUGUAGGGAAUAGGGACUGUGUAGGGAAUAGGGACUGUGUAGGGAAUAGGGACUGUGUAGGGAAUAGGGACUGUAUAGGGAAUAGGGACUGUGUAGGGAAUAGGGACUGUGUAGGGAAUAGGGACUGUGUAGGGAAUAGGGACUGUAUAGGGAAUAGGGACUGUGUAGGGAAUAUAUAACAUAAAACACUGGCUAACCACUGGUGUGGGGUUAAGACUCAGUGGAAAUGCAUCACCAUAGUACUAGACUAGUACUCAUAUUUAGUCAGUACUGCUGUAGUACUCUUAUACAGUACAGUUUAAGUCAGUACUGCUAUAGUACUCUUAUACAGUACAGUUUAAGUCAGUACUGCUAUAGUACUCUUAUACAGUACAGUUUAAGUCAGUACUGCUAUAGUACUCUUAUACAGUACAGUUUAAGUCAGUACUGCUAUAGUACUCUUAUACAGUACAGUUUAAGUCAGUACUGCUGUAGUACUCUUGUACAGUGCAGUUUAAGUCAGUACUGCUAUAGUACUCUUAUACAGUACAGUUUAAGUCAGUUCUGCUAUAGUACUCUCAUACAGUACAGUUAAAGUCAGUACUGCUAUAGUACUCUUAUACAGUACAGUUUUAAUGUGCAAUUAGCUGUAGCCCCUAACAUGGCGAUCAAUAAUCAAUAAUAUUACGAAGUUGGAUAAAAUAUUGAUCAUAUUUAUAAUUCGCAUUGACAUUGAUAAAUGGUGCUGGACUGUAAUUAAGGUUAUGAGGUACACUAGUGACUUUACAUUGAGCCCUGGUGAUGGGAGUCUGGUGGCAGAGUUAUGAGGUACACUAGUGACUUUACAUUGAGCCCUGGUGAUGGGAGUCUGGUGGCAGAGUUAUCAGGUACGCUAGUGACUUUAUAUUGAGCCCUGGUGAUGGGAGUGACUUUACAUUGAGCCCUGGUGAUGGGAGUGACUUUACAUUGAGCCCUGGUGAUGGGAGUCUGGUGGCAGAGUUAUCAGGUACACUAGUGACUUUACAUUGAGCCCUGGUGAUGGGAGUCUGGUGGCAGAGUUAUCAGGUACGCUAGUGACUUUACAUUGAGCCCUGGUGAUGGGAGUCUGGUGGCAGAGUUAUCAGGUACGCUAGUGACUUUACAUUGAGCCCUGGUGAUGGGAGUCUGGUGGCAGAGUUAUCAGGUACGCUAGUGACUCAGCUCGUCUGUUGAACACUACAGGGGGAAACAAUGAGCUCUGGAAGGGUUACACUGCAGGCGAUUCCCUGAAUAUUUUCACUAACAUCUACCAUGCUUUUCAUCUACCAUGUUAGACUUUGGUUUUUGUUCUUGAAUUAUCUGGUGUCAGGAGAGAAAGAAAGAGUACAGAUGUAGGAUCUUAAUUUGAGCCAGUUUGCUGCAGCAGGAAAAUAAUCCCGCAGCAACGGGAAAUGUCAAUAGUUUUUUUGUGGAUUAUAAUUAAUAUACUUUUUUUGUAAGGGUUGAUAGAUUUUUAAUUAUGGUAAAUCAAGUCUGACAUUUUUAAGGGGAAAUUACAAACUUUAUAUCCCUUUUAUUUAUUUUUUUUACCCUGAAUGCAAUACAAGUUUGCAUUUCCUGCUGUGCAAGAAAUUCCUGCAGCUGGAUGAUCAAAUUAUGAUAUGGCAUCUGUAGUCGAAUGACAAUUCAGGUGGUUGACUUCAAUUGCAAAAUCAAUGCACUGUAUGUUGAAGCAGUAAGGUAUGAUCUGAAUAUGACUGUGUGGUACUAAGGCUAGGCUAAUCCCUCUGCAGUUCUAUAUGACUGUGUGGUACUAAGGCUAGGCUAAUCCCUCUGCAGUUCUAUAU
Oncorhynchus tshawytscha (Chinook salmon) is the source of this 2747-nucleotide long non-coding RNA. NCBI's taxonomy places the organism in Eukaryota, Metazoa, Chordata, Actinopteri, Salmoniformes, Salmonidae. The record is from Ensembl.